Molecule: ribosomal RNA, 466 nt
Filed under: uncultured bacterium
Lineage: Bacteria
Description: partial 16S ribosomal RNA
Rfam family: Bacterial small subunit ribosomal RNA
Source: RNAcentral
ACGAACGCUGGCGGCGUGCUUAACACAUGCAAGUCGAACGGAAAGGCCCUGCUUUUGUGGGGUGCUCGAGUGGCGAACGGGUGAGUAACACGUGAGUAACCUGCCCUUGACUUUGGGAUAACUUCAGGAAACUGGGGCUAAUACCGGAUAGGUGCUCCUGCUGCAUGGUGGGGGUUGGAAAGUUUCGGCGGUUGGGGAUGGACUCGCGGCUUAUCAGCUUGUUGGUGGGGUAGUGGCUUACCAAGGCUUUGACGGGUAGCCGGCCUGAGAGGGUGACCGGCCACAUUGGGACUGAGAUACGGCCCAGACUCCUACGGGAGGCAGCAGUGGGGAAUAUUGCACAAUGGGCGGAAGCCUGAUGCAGCAACGCCGCGUGCGGGAUGACGGCCUUCGGGUUGUAAACCGCUUUCGCCUGUGACGAAGCGUGAGUGACGGUAAUGGGUAAAGAAGCACCGGCUAACUACGU